UCUAAGGGGACGUGCCGGUGGACAAACCGGAGGAAGGCGGGAUGACGUCAAGUCAUCAUGGCCCUUAUGGGCUGGGCUACACACGUGCUACAAUGGCCGGUACAGAGGGUUGCCAAGCCGCGAGGUGGAGCUAAUCUCACAAAGCCGGUCGUAGUCCGGAUUGCAGUCUGCAACUCGACUGCAUGAAGUCGGAAUCGCUAGUAAUCGCGGAUCAGCAUGCCGCGGUGAAUACGUUCCCGGGCCUU
Molecule: ribosomal RNA, 245 nt
Filed under: uncultured Pseudomonadota bacterium
Lineage: Bacteria; Pseudomonadati; Pseudomonadota
Description: uncultured proteobacterium partial 16S ribosomal RNA
Rfam family: Bacterial small subunit ribosomal RNA
Source: RNAcentral